GGCGUGUACUGUCUGGCUGGGCCUUACCUCUUGGUGAGCCGGCGUGCCCUUUAUUGGUGUGCGUCGGGGAACCAGGACUUUUACCUUGAGAAAAUUAGAGUGUUCAAAGCAGGCCUAUGCCCGAAUACAUUAGCAUGGAAUAAUAAAAUAGGACGUGCGGUUCUAUUUUGUUGGUUUCUAGAGUCGCCGUAAUGAUUAAUAGGGACAGUUGGGGGCAUUGGUAUUGAGUCGCUAGAGGUGAAAUUCUUGGAUUGACUCAAGACCGACUACUGCGAAAGCAUUUGCCAAGGAUGUUUUCAUUAAUCAAGAACGAAGGUUAGGGGAUCGAAAACGAUCAGAUACCGUUGUAGUCUUAACAGUAAACUAUGCCGACUAGGGAUCGGGCGAUCUCAAAUUUAAUGUGUCGCUCGGCACCUUACGAGAAAUCAAAGUCUUUGGGAUCUGGGGGGAGUAUGGUCGCAAGGCUGAAACUUAAAGGAAUUGACGGAAGGGCACCACCAGGCGUGGAGCCUGCGGCUUAAUUUGACUCAACACGGGGAAACUCACCAGGUCCAGACAUAACUAGGAUUGACAGAUUGAUAGCUCUUUCAUGAUUUUAUGGGUGGUGGUGCAUGGCCGUUCUUAGUUGGUGGAGUGAUUUGUCUGGUUAAUUCCGAUAACGAACGAGACCUUAACCUGCUAAAUAGCCAGGCCGGCUUCUGCUGGUCGCAGGCUUCUUAGAGGGACUGUCGG
RNAcentral lists this ribosomal RNA (732 nucleotides) under uncultured eukaryote. RNAcentral describes it as "SSU rRNA". It matches the Rfam family "Eukaryotic small subunit ribosomal RNA", at positions 672 to 1426 of the family's 1831-position model. The record is from RNAcentral.